AGUGGCGGACGGGUGAGUAAUGUCUGGGAAACUGCCUGAUGGGAGGGGGAUAACUACUGGAAACGGUAGCUAAUACCGCAUAACGUCGAAAGACCAAAGAGGGGGACCUUCGGGCCUCUUGCCAUCGGAUGUGCCCAGAUGGGAUUAGCUUGUUGGUGGGGUAAUGGCUCACCAAGGCGACGAUCCCUAGCUGGUCUGAGAGGAUGACCAGCCACACUGGAACUGAGACACGGUCCAGACUCCUACGGGAGGCAGCAUG
This 259-nucleotide ribosomal RNA is filed under the name uncultured bacterium. RNAcentral's name for it is "partial 16S ribosomal RNA". It matches the Rfam family "Bacterial small subunit ribosomal RNA", at positions 94 to 353 of the family's 1533-position model. The record is from RNAcentral.